Molecule: ribosomal RNA, 466 nt
Filed under: uncultured bacterium
Lineage: Bacteria
Description: partial 16S ribosomal RNA
Rfam family: Bacterial small subunit ribosomal RNA
Source: RNAcentral
CUACGGGUGGCUGCAGUGGGGAAUAUUGGACAAUGGGGGAAACCCUGAUCCAGCAAUGCCGCGUGUGUGAAGAAGGCCUGCGGGUUGUAAAGCACUUUCGGUUGGGAGGACUGCUUCUAGCACUCAUAUUGUUGGAAGUUGACGUUACCUUCAGAAGAAGCACCGGCUAACGCCGUGCCAGCAGCCGCGGGUAAUACGGAGGGUGCAAGCGUUAAUCGGAAUUACUGGGCGUAAAGCGCGCGUAGGCGGCUAGAUCAGUCGGGUGUGAAAGCCCCGGGCUUAACCUGGGAACUGCAUCCGAUACUGUCUAGCUUGAGUACAGGAGAGGAGAGUGGAAUUCCACAUGUAGCGGUGAAAUGCGUAGAUAUGUGGAGGAACACCAAUGGCGAAGGCAGCUCUCUGGCCUGAUACUGACGCUGAGGUGCGAAAGCGUGGGGAGCAAACAGGAUUAGAUACCCCAGUAGUC